AUUGAACGCUGGCGACAGGCCUAACACAUGCAAGUCGAACGGUAACAGGAAGCAGCUUGCUGCUUUGCUGACGAGUGGCGGACGGGUGAGUAAUGUCUGGGAAACUGCCUGAUGGAGGGGGAUAACUACUGGAAACGGUAGCUAAUACCGCAUAACGUCGCAAGACCAAAGAGGGGGACCUUCGGGCCUCUUGCCAUCGGAUGUGCCCAGAUGGGAUUAGCUUGUUGGUGGGGUAACGGCUCACCAAGGCGACGAUCCCUAGCUGGUCUGAGAGGAUGACCAGCCACACUGUAACUGAGACACGGUCCAGACUCCUACGGGAGGCAGCAGUGGGGAAUAUUGCACAAUGGGCGCAAGCCUGAUGCAGCCAUGCCGCGUGUAUGAAGAAGGCCUUCGGGUUGUAAAGUACUUUCAGCGGGGAGGAAGGGAGUAAAGUUAAUACCUUUACUCAUUGACGUUACCCGCAGAAGAAGCACCGGCUAACUCCGUG
Molecule: ribosomal RNA, 490 nt
Filed under: uncultured bacterium
Lineage: Bacteria
Description: partial 16S ribosomal RNA
Rfam family: Bacterial small subunit ribosomal RNA
Source: RNAcentral